RNAcentral lists this ribosomal RNA (85 nucleotides) under Saccharothrix sp. NRRL B-16348. RNAcentral describes it as "partial 16S ribosomal RNA". It matches the Rfam family "Bacterial small subunit ribosomal RNA", at positions 1457 to 1533 of the family's 1533-position model. Lineage: Bacteria; Bacillati; Actinomycetota; Actinomycetes; Pseudonocardiales; Pseudonocardiaceae. RNAcentral also lists the same sequence under 1 other name. The record is from RNAcentral.
CGAAGGUGGGACUGGCGAUUGGGACGAAGUCGUAACAAGGUAGCCGUACCGGAAGGUGCGGCUGGAUCACCUCCUUUCUAAGGAG